GAAAGAACACAGAGAAAAUGAACAACUUUGAGCGGUGGAUCACUCGGCUCG
RNAcentral lists this ribosomal RNA (51 nucleotides) under Euphaedusa digonoptyx. Its description in RNAcentral is "partial 5.8S rRNA". The record is from RNAcentral. Lineage: Eukaryota; Metazoa; Mollusca; Gastropoda; Stylommatophora; Clausiliidae.